GACGAACGCUGGCGGCGUGCUUAACACAUGCAAGUCGAACGGAAAGGCCCCUUUGGGGGUACUCGAGUGGCGAACGGGUGCGUAACACUUGCGUAACCUGCCCUUGACUUCGGGAUAACUUCAGGAAACUGGGGCUAAUACCGGAUAGGAAUCCUUGCUGCAUGGUGGGGGUUGGAAAGCUUCGGCGGUUUUGGAUGGACUCGCGACUUAUCAGCUUGUUGGUGGGGUAGUGGCUUACCAAGGCUUUGACGGGUAGCCGGCUUGAGAGGGCGACCGGCCACAUUGGGACUGAGAUACGGCCCAGACUCCUACGGGAGGCAGCAGUGGGGAAUAUUGCACAAUGGGCGGAAGCCUGAUGCAGCAACGCCGCGUGCGGGAUGACGGCCUUCGGGUUGUAAACCGCGUUCAGCAGGGGCGAAGCUUGUGGUGACGGUACCUGCAGAAGAAGCACCGGCUAACUACGUG
Molecule: ribosomal RNA, 465 nt
Filed under: uncultured bacterium
Lineage: Bacteria
Description: partial 16S ribosomal RNA
Rfam family: Bacterial small subunit ribosomal RNA
Source: RNAcentral